RNAcentral lists this transfer RNA (73 nucleotides) under Myxococcales bacterium. Its description in RNAcentral is "tRNA-Thr". It matches the Rfam family "tRNA". From Rfam's summary of the family: Transfer RNA (tRNA) molecules are approximately 80 nucleotides in length. Their secondary structure includes four short double-helical elements and three loops (D, anti-codon, and T loops). The record is from RNAcentral. Lineage: Bacteria; Pseudomonadati; Myxococcota; Myxococcia; Myxococcales.
GCUGGCGUAGCUCAGUUGGUAGAGCACGUCCUUGGUAAGGACGGGGUCACCGGUUCAAAUCCGGUCGUCAGCU